GGAUGUGAGGGCGAUCUGGCUGCCAACAUCUGUCACCCCAUUGAUCGCCAGGGUUGAUUCGGCUGAUCUGGCUGGCUAGGCGGGUGUCCCCUUCCUCCCUCACCGCUCCACGUGCAUCCUUCCCGAAGCUGUGUGCUCGGUCGAAGAGGAAGACCUUCCCUGAUAGAGGAGGACCGUUCUUCGGUCAAGGGUAUACGAGCAGCUGUGCUCCCUGCUAGAACCUCCAGACAAGCUCUCAAGGUCCAUUUGUAGGAGAGCGCAGGGUAGUCAAGCUUCCAAGACUCCAGACGCAUCCAAAUGAGGCACUGCACGUGGCAGUCUGCCUUUCAAA
Non-coding RNA from Ailuropoda melanoleuca (giant panda), 331 nucleotides. The record is from Rfam. NCBI's taxonomy places the organism in Eukaryota, Metazoa, Chordata, Mammalia, Carnivora, Ursidae.